Amazona aestiva (blue-fronted amazon) is the source of this 46-nucleotide non-coding RNA. The record is from Rfam. NCBI's taxonomy places the organism in Eukaryota, Metazoa, Chordata, Aves, Psittaciformes, Psittacidae.
GAAGAGGCUUCACUUGAAGCCAUCAUCAAUAUAUUCAUGGAACAAU